Molecule: small nucleolar RNA, 130 nt
Organism: Cynocephalus volans (Philippine flying lemur)
Lineage: Eukaryota; Metazoa; Chordata; Mammalia; Dermoptera; Cynocephalidae
Product: small nucleolar RNA SNORA30/SNORA37 family
Exons: 1
Source: RefSeq, a predicted model, not a curated record
CUAGCACUUUCACAAGUCCUCCCCCAGGCAGUGGGGCCAGGAUUUGCGUAGCUGGUACUGAGAGAAAACCCUUGAUUUCAUCCUUGCCCUGGGACUGUACCACUGGCAACUGUUGCUCCACUGGACAGAC